Molecule: long non-coding RNA, 688 nt
Organism: Pimephales promelas (fathead minnow)
Lineage: Eukaryota; Metazoa; Chordata; Actinopteri; Cypriniformes; Leuciscidae
Source: RefSeq, a predicted model, not a curated record
CCUCAGUGUUGCUUGGUCGUCGUCAAUGCAUGGUUGAGUGUGUUUUUAAAGUCGUGGAGAGGGUUCCUUUGUCCCUAGCGGAUUGGCAUGCUGCUUUAGCUAUUGUCACCUCUGCUGGAGAGCUGGAUUGGAACAAGAGACACUUUCCUCCCAUUUGUCCUGCUGCUGGCAAACCUUACACAGGCCUCUUCUAUGCUGCCAAUGACCUUGUUGGACGGACUGCAGGUGCUCAGAGGACAUGGGGCUGCUGUGCCAAACCAGUUUGUUCGGAUGGGGCUGGUGUGAGAAGAUGGAACACAUGAGGAGAGGUUGCCUCGAGGGAAGCCCGGUGGCAAACUCCUACAGUAUGACCGGUUUCGAUCUCGUCACUCGCCUGGGACACUCUGUGCAUAAUAAAGAUAAACUUACUUGCUCUAGCACCAAUCGAUAUUGUAAUCCACAGUUACAUUCACUGAGCUAUCUCUCGCUUGCAUGUCAUUAAAACAAAAAAUGCCCUUAGACAUGUAUAUAAAUAAGUCAAAUGUACAAGUAUUGGCGAAUCUUCACAGGGAUCAUACUCUAGGUGGUUUGUUAUAAUAUAAUAUAAUUUGUGUAUAAUUUUUGUUAUUAAAUUAACAUUUUUGUGUGCGAGUGGAUAAUUAGAUUUUCAUGCCCAAUAAUUAUGCAAAUACUAUUUACAUGACUGAGA